This 427-nucleotide ribosomal RNA is filed under the name uncultured prokaryote. Its description in RNAcentral is "bacterial SSU rRNA". It matches the Rfam family "Bacterial small subunit ribosomal RNA", at positions 355 to 774 of the family's 1533-position model. The record is from RNAcentral.
UGGGGAAUUUUGGACAAUGGGGGCAACCCUGAUCCAGCCAUGCCGCGUGAGUGAAGAAGGCCUUCGGGUUGUAAAGCUCUUUCGGCCGGGAAAAAAUCGCAUGGGCUAAUACCCUGUGUGGAUGAUGGUACCGGAAUAAGAAGCACCGGCUAACUACGUGCCAGCAGCCGCGGUAAUACGUAGGGUGCGAGCGUUAAUCGGAAUUACUGGGCGUAAAGCGUGCGCAGGCGGUUUUUUAAGACAGGCGUGAAAUCCCCGGGCUCAACCUGGGAACUGCGCUUGUGACUGGAAGGCUAGAGUACGGCAGAGGGGGGUGGAAUUCCACGUGUAGCAGUGAAAUGCGUAGAGAUGUGGAGGAACACCAAUGGCGAAGGCAGCCCCCUGGGUCGAUACUGACGCUCAUGCACGAAAGCGUGGGGAGCAAACA